GGCAGCAGUAGGGAAUCUUCCGCAAUGGACGAAAGUCUGACGGAGCAACGCCGCGUGAGUGAUGAAGGUUUUCGGAUCGUAAAGCUCUGUUGUUAGGGAAGAACAAGUACCGUUCGAAUAGGGCGGUACCUUGACGGUACCUAACCAGAAAGCCACGGCUAACUACGUGCCAGCAGCCGCGGUAAUACGUAGGUGGCAAGCGUUGUCCGGAAUUAUUGGGCGUAAAGGGCUCGCAGGCGGUUUCUUAAGUCUGAUGUGAAAGCCCCCGGCUCAACCGGGGAGGGUCAUUGGAAACUGGGGAACUUGAGUGCAGAAGAGGAGAGUGGAAUUCCACGUGUAGCGGUGAAAUGCGUAGAGAUGUGGAGGAACACCAGUGGCGAAGGCGACUCUCUGGUCUGUAACUGACGCUGAGGAGCGAAAGCGUGGGGAGCGAACAGGAUUAGAUACCCUGGUAGUCCACGCCGUAAACGAUGAGUGCUAAGUGUUAGGGGGUUUCCGCCCCUUAGUGCUGCAGCUAACGCAUUAAGCACUCCGCCUGGGGAGUACGGUCGCAAGACUGAAACUCAAAGGAAUUGACGGGGGCCCGCACAAGCGGUGGAGCAUGUGGUUUAAUUCGAAGCAACGCGAAGAACCUUACCAGGUCUUGACAUCCUCUGACAAUCCUAGAGAU
RNAcentral lists this ribosomal RNA (670 nucleotides) under Bacillus subtilis. RNAcentral describes it as "bacterial SSU rRNA". It matches the Rfam family "Bacterial small subunit ribosomal RNA", at positions 347 to 1007 of the family's 1533-position model. Lineage: Bacteria; Bacillati; Bacillota; Bacilli; Caryophanales; Bacillaceae. The record is from RNAcentral.